UGAUUCAAAAGAGGACCAAGAGGAGAUU
Molecule: non-coding RNA, 28 nt
Filed under: Mus musculus (house mouse)
Lineage: Eukaryota; Metazoa; Chordata; Mammalia; Rodentia; Muridae
Source: RNAcentral